RNAcentral lists this ribosomal RNA (253 nucleotides) under uncultured Eubacteriales bacterium. Its description in RNAcentral is "uncultured Clostridiales bacterium partial 16S ribosomal RNA". It matches the Rfam family "Bacterial small subunit ribosomal RNA", at positions 524 to 776 of the family's 1533-position model. Lineage: Bacteria; Bacillati; Bacillota; Clostridia; Eubacteriales. The record is from RNAcentral.
UACGUAGGGGGCAAGCGUUAUCCGGAUUUACUGGGUGUAAAGGGAGCGUAGACGGCGAGGCAAGUCUGGAGUGAAAGCCCGGGGCUCAACCCCGGGACUGCUUUGGAAACUGCCGGGCUGGAGUGCAGGAGAGGUAAGCGGAAUUCCUAGUGUAGCGGUGAAAUGCGUAGAUAUUAGGAGGAACACCAGUGGCGAAGGCGGCUUACUGGACUGUAACUGACGUUGAGGCUCGAAAGCGUGGGGAGCAAAAAGG